This 172-nucleotide ribosomal RNA is filed under the name Cirrhilabrus scottorum (Scott's wrasse). RNAcentral's name for it is "partial small subunit ribosomal RNA". Lineage: Eukaryota; Metazoa; Chordata; Actinopteri; Labriformes; Labridae. The record is from RNAcentral.
CGCCGCGGUUAGACGAGUCUUUGGCUCUAGUUGACAGAUAACGGCGUAAAGGGUGGUUAGGGAAUAAUCAUACUAAAGUCGAAGGCUCUCAGUGCUGUCAUACGCUUAUGAGAGAGCGAAGCCCCACCACAAAAGUGACUUUACUCCCCCCGAACCCACGAAAGCUAUGGUA